CUGAACUUGAACUUAUUUUCCUCUUACCUCAGUCCCCUAAGUCUGGAUCACGGGUGUGAGCCACUCGACCUUGCUCUAAAGCUGUUUUUCCCAAUACAUGCUAGACAGGCACUCUAUACCAAUUCACGCUUUGUCCCUAUUCUGUUUGUUUGUUUGUUUGUUUGUUUGUUUGUUUGUUUGUUUGUGUUUAUUUCCUGAGACCGGGUCUUUAUGUCGCCCUGGCUGUCCUGGAACUCACUAUGUAGAUCAGACUGGCCUAGAACUCAGAGAUCUUCCUGCCUCUGCCUCCUCCUCUUCCUCCUCUGUCAAAGAAAGUCAGCCUAGAUUUCAUUUUCUAAGCCAUACAGUGGCCGGGUAUGGUGGCUCAGACCUGUAAUUCCAGCAAGUUUCUGCGAAAAGCAGAAAAAUUAAGAAUUACAGAGAAUCAGAAGCCAACCUGUAUCAAAUAGCAAGCCUACCAUUGCUUGAGUGUACUACAUUUUUCUUAAAGACUCCUCUGCUAAUAAACAAAGGUUGUGUUUUAGUAUGAGUAAGUAUGACUUUUGUUAAGAACAAAAUCACCACCAUCUGCAUUUUACUGACAGACAUACUAAAGUCCAGACAAGGGGAAAACAUCACCAGAGGUCACACACUGAAAACUGGAGCUUCCAGGUCCCCUUUCCUGUCUGUAUCCUUCAGUUUAUCGGUUCAAAUGUUAGUGUGUCCCAGCCGGCCCAGCUGUCUGCAGCAAGCCUCAGGCAAGCCAGCUGUCUCUCACCCUCAGCCUGCAGGAUUCUUGCAGGCAACCUAGAGACAUCUUUCAUCGCUGAAGCAUCGCGUUUUCAGACCUCCAGCCAGCAGGGGGCAGUGUAGCUACUGUCGCCGGUAGCAUCGACUUGCUCUCUUUGUGGUGUUCAUUUUUUC
Molecule: long non-coding RNA, 903 nt
Filed under: Rattus norvegicus (Norway rat)
Lineage: Eukaryota; Metazoa; Chordata; Mammalia; Rodentia; Muridae
Description: long non-coding RNA NONRATT022606
Source: RNAcentral